This 402-nucleotide ribosomal RNA is filed under the name uncultured Eubacteriales bacterium. RNAcentral's name for it is "bacterial SSU rRNA". It matches the Rfam family "Bacterial small subunit ribosomal RNA", at positions 355 to 774 of the family's 1533-position model. Lineage: Bacteria; Bacillati; Bacillota; Clostridia; Eubacteriales. The record is from RNAcentral.
UGGGGAAUAUUGCACAAUGGGGGGAACCCUGAUGCAGCGACGCCGCGUGGGUGAGGAAGUACUUCGGUAUGUAAAGCCCUAUCAGCAGGGAAGAAAAUGACGGUACCUGACUAAGAAGCCCCGGCUAACUACGUGCCAGCAGCCGCGGUAAUACGUAGGGGGCAAGCGUUAUCCGGAUUUACUGGGUGUAAAGGGAGCGUAGACGGCGUGCCAAGUCUGAUGUGAAAGGCCGGGGCUCAACCCCGGGACUGCAUUGGAAACUGGCAUGCUGGAGUGCCGGAGGGGCAAGCGGAAUUCCUAGUGUAGCGGUGAAAUGCGUAGAUAUUAGGAGGAACACCGGUGGCGAAGGCGGCUUGCUGGACGGUAACUGACGUUGAGGCUCGAAAGCGUGGGGAGCAAACA